Molecule: ribosomal RNA, 460 nt
Filed under: uncultured bacterium
Lineage: Bacteria
Description: partial 16S ribosomal RNA
Rfam family: Bacterial small subunit ribosomal RNA
Source: RNAcentral
CCUACGGGAGGCAGCAGUGAGGAAUAUUGGUCAAUGGGCUUACGCCUGAACCAGCCAAGUCGCGUGAGGGAAGACUGCCCUAUGGGUUGUAAACCUCUUUUGUCAGGGAGCAACGCCGGCUACGUGUAGCCGGACUGAGAGUACCUGAAGAAAAAGCAUCGGCUAACUCCGUGCCAGCAGCCGCGGUAAUACGGAGGAUGCGAGCGUUAUCAGGAUUUAUUGGGUUUAAAGGGUGCGUAGGCGGAAUGCCAAGUCAGCGGUAAAAUCGCGGGGCUCAACCUCGCUCCGCCGUUGAAACUGGCGGUCUUGAGUGGGCGAGAAGUAUGCGGAAUGCGUGGUGUAGCGGUGAAAUGCAUAGAUAUCACGCAGAACUCCGAUUGCGAAGGCAGCAUACCGGCGCCCAACUGACGCUGAAGCACGAAAGCGUGGGUAUCGAACAGGAUUAGAUACCCCUGUAGUC